Long non-coding RNA from Saccoglossus kowalevskii, 934 nucleotides. NCBI's taxonomy places the organism in Eukaryota, Metazoa, Hemichordata, Enteropneusta, Harrimaniidae. The record is from RefSeq and is a predicted model, not a curated record.
GGCGUACACGGAACCUGAUGCAAACAACACACUCUUGCUCACUGCCCAAGACUUCCAGUGUGGCGAAGACCAGACAGAAACCAUGGUCGACGAUGGGGGAUUUGCAGUAUCGAUGGAGAAAGUAAACACGGAAGAAGAGUGUACUCCAGCAACCACCGAUGGCGGUAACUCCAUUAUGGUCAGCUUUGUGUCUUCUAUGGUGUGCCUCCUCACUGCUCUUAAAUUGUAAAAAAAUAAUAAUAAGCAAUAUUGUACAUGGCAUAAAGAGGCCACAGGUCGGUUGGUACGAUCCUCGUUCGAGGACGGUGUUGUGUUUGCACUGAGAAUUUUUGAAUAUUCUCAGUUAUUUAUGGUUUCAAUGCGUAUAUUAUUUAUAAGGAAGUUAAGCAGAUAACACAUAUUGUCGACCUACCAAAACAAGUUUAUUAGAUAAAUACUUCGACCCAAUAUUUAUAUCAUACUAAACUUUCUUAAGUAAUCUAGUCAUUCGAUCUCUAUUGUAAGUGCUUCGAUAUACUAGUAUCAAUUUCUAAAACAAAUCACGUGGUUCCCUGCAAUGGGUUGGUGUUGAACAAUGUGGCUUUGGACGAGGAUGGUCACGUGCCAUAGAUGCGAAGCGAAAGAGAAUCCCUGCAGAUCGUUCAUGGGGACCAUGGUUUAUUUCGUUUUAAUGGUGAAUAAUUGAUGGUCACAGUAACGUUAUUUAUGCAUGUAAUUAAUAUGCCAAAGCGUAGCGUGGUCGUCCCCAGGAAUCGUUACUUAAGUGUAAUGCGGUGUAUCAAUAGCGCCAACACAGGUGAAUAUGUGCAUUUCUUUCGUAUUCUCUUAUUUUAUAUUAGUUGUACUACAAAUGAUUGUCACUGAAACACGAUGUUUCUGGAUGGAACUGUUGUAUAUCGUAAAUGCACAGUGUAGCAAUCAAAGUUCUGUAAGU